This 438-nucleotide ribosomal RNA is filed under the name uncultured Bifidobacterium sp. RNAcentral describes it as "bacterial SSU rRNA". It matches the Rfam family "Bacterial small subunit ribosomal RNA", at positions 167 to 618 of the family's 1533-position model. The record is from RNAcentral. Lineage: Bacteria; Bacillati; Actinomycetota; Actinomycetes; Bifidobacteriales; Bifidobacteriaceae.
UGCCGGAUGCUCCUACCUUCAUGCAUGGAUGGAUGGUUGGGAAAGCGUUAGCGGUAUGAGAUGGGGUCGCGUUCUAUCAGCUUGUUGGUGUGGUGAACGGCCCACCAAGGCUUCGACGGGUAGCCGGCCUGAGAGGCCGACCGGCCACAUUGGGACUUAGAUACGGCCCAGACUCCUACGGGAGGCAGCAGUGGGGAAUAUUGCUCAAUGGGCGAAAGCCUGAUGCAGCGACGCCGCGUGCGGGAUGAAGNCCUUCGGGUUGUAAACCGCUUUUGAUAGCGAGCAAGCGAGAGUGAGUGUACCUUUCGAAUAAGCACCGGCUAACUACGUGCCAGCAGCCGCGGUAAUACGUAGGGUGCAAGCGUUAUCCGGAAUUAUUGGGCGUAAAGAGCUCGUAGGCGGUANGNCACGUCUGUUAAGGCUGGUGUGAAAGUCCAU